RNAcentral lists this ribosomal RNA (1563 nucleotides) under Vibrio parahaemolyticus O1:K33 str. CDC_K4557. RNAcentral describes it as "bacterial SSU rRNA". It matches the Rfam family "Bacterial small subunit ribosomal RNA". Lineage: Bacteria; Pseudomonadati; Pseudomonadota; Gammaproteobacteria; Vibrionales; Vibrionaceae. The record is from RNAcentral.
AAAUUGAAGAGUUUGAUCAUGGCUCAGAUUGAACGCUGGCGGCAGGCCUAACACAUGCAAGUCGAGCGGAAAACGAGUUGUCUGAACCUUCGGGGGACGAUAACGGCGUCGAGCGGCGGACGGGUGAGUAAUGCCUAGGAAAUUGCCCUGAUGUGGGGGAUAACCAUUGGAAACGAUGGCUAAUACCGCAUGAUGCCUACGGGCCAAAGAGGGGGACCUUCGGGCCUCUCGCGUCAGGAUAUGCCUAGGUGGGAUUAGCUAGUUGGUGAGGUAAGGGCUCACCAAGGCGACGAUCCCUAGCUGGUCUGAGAGGAUGAUCAGCCACACUGGAACUGAGACACGGUCCAGACUCCUACGGGAGGCAGCAGUGGGGAAUAUUGCACAAUGGGCGCAAGCCUGAUGCAGCCAUGCCGCGUGUGUGAAGAAGGCCUUCGGGUUGUAAAGCACUUUCAGUCGUGAGGAAGGUAGUGUAGUUAAUAGCUGCAUUAUUUGACGUUAGCGACAGAAGAAGCACCGGCUAACUCCGUGCCAGCAGCCGCGGUAAUACGGAGGGUGCGAGCGUUAAUCGGAAUUACUGGGCGUAAAGCGCAUGCAGGUGGUUUGUUAAGUCAGAUGUGAAAGCCCGGGGCUCAACCUCGGAAUUGCAUUUGAAACUGGCAGACUAGAGUACUGUAGAGGGGGGUAGAAUUUCAGGUGUAGCGGUGAAAUGCGUAGAGAUCUGAAGGAAUACCGGUGGCGAAGGCGGCCCCCUGGACAGAUACUGACACUCAGAUGCGAAAGCGUGGGGAGCAAACAGGAUUAGAUACCCUGGUAGUCCACGCCGUAAACGAUGUCUACUUGGAGGUUGUGGCCUUGAGCCGUGGCUUUCGGAGCUAACGCGUUAAGUAGACCGCCUGGGGAGUACGGUCGCAAGAUUAAAACUCAAAUGAAUUGACGGGGGCCCGCACAAGCGGUGGAGCAUGUGGUUUAAUUCGAUGCAACGCGAAGAACCUUACCUACUCUUGACAUCCAGAGAACUUUCCAGAGAUGGAUUGGUGCCUUCGGGAACUCUGAGACAGGUGCUGCAUGGCUGUCGUCAGCUCGUGUUGUGAAAUGUUGGGUUAAGUCCCGCAACGAGCGCAACCCUUAUCCUUGUUUGCCAGCGAGUAAUGUCGGGAACUCCAGGGAGACUGCCGGUGAUAAACCGGAGGAAGGUGGGGACGACGUCAAGUCAUCAUGGCCCUUACGAGUAGGGCUACACACGUGCUACAAUGGCGCAUACAGAGGGCGGCCAACUUGCGAAAGUGAGCGAAUCCCAAAAAGUGCGUCGUAGUCCGGAUUGGAGUCUGCAACUCGACUCCAUGAAGUCGGAAUCGCUAGUAAUCGUGGAUCAGAAUGCCACGGUGAAUACGUUCCCGGGCCUUGUACACACCGCCCGUCACACCAUGGGAGUGGGCUGCAAAAGAAGUAGGUAGUUUAACCUUCGGGGGGACGCUUACCACUUUGUGGUUCAUGACUGGGGUGAAGUCGUAACAAGGUAGCGCUAGGGGAACCUGGCGCUGGAUCACCUCCUUAUACGAUGAU